CGAUCUGUGCAUGCAGCAUAUCAAUAAGCGGAGGAAAAGAAACUAACAAGGAUUCCCCUAGUAACGGCGAGUGAAGCGGGAAGAGCUCAAAUUUGAAAUCUUAAAGGGUUUCCCUUUACGAAUUGUAGUUUAAAGAAGUGUUUUCUGUUGAGGUUUUGGUAAAAGUUCUUUGGACUAGGACAUCAUAGAGGGUGAGAAUCCCGUAUUUGACCUUUACUUUCAACUUUGUGAUACACUUUCAAAGAGUCGGAUUGUUUGGGAAUGCAGUCCAAAAUGGGUGGUAAAUUUCAUCUAAAGCUAAAUAUUGGCGAGAGGACCGAUAGCGAACAAGUACCGUGAGGGAAAGAUGAAAAGAACUUUGAAAAGAGAGUUAAACAGUACGUGAAAUUGUCCAAAAGGGAAGCGUUUGACACCAGUGUUGUUUUUCUGAAAAUCAAUUAAAGAACUGUUUAUGCUAAGCUGUUUAGACUUUAUCAGCUAUCUGUUUAGUUUUGAGCUUUUCUUUAAUGCACUUUUCAGUUAACAAGUCAACAUCAAUUUCUUUUGCUGUAAAAAAGCUUGAGGAAGGUGGCUUGAGAUUCGUCUUAAGUGUUUAUAGCCUCUUGCCUAUGCAGUCGGAGAGAUUGAGGUCUGCAGCGUAGAUCCUUCGGGGCUAAAUGCAUUUGUGCUAAGUUAUAGCAUUUUAUAGACAACUUGUUGACUAUGAUUUGUCUUGUAGCUUACUCGCUUAUGUUAUUUUACCUACGCUUAGGAUGUUGAGUCGUAGAGCACGCAG
RNAcentral lists this ribosomal RNA (775 nucleotides) under uncultured Neocallimastigales. Its description in RNAcentral is "partial large subunit ribosomal RNA". It matches the Rfam family "Eukaryotic large subunit ribosomal RNA", at positions 26 to 628 of the family's 3401-position model. Lineage: Eukaryota; Fungi; Neocallimastigomycota; Neocallimastigomycetes; Neocallimastigales. The record is from RNAcentral.